GGAGCAUGUUCUUUAUUUCAUGCAACACGAAGAACCUUACCUGGGAUUGACCUCCCGUGGAACCGCUAUGAAAGUAGCGAGUGCUCACUUUGUGAGAACCACGUGACAGGUACUGCAUGGCUGUCGUCAGUUCGUGUCGUAAGAUGUUGGGUUAAGUUCCCGCAACGAACGCAACCCCUGUCUUUAGUUACCAGCAUUAAGUUGGGGACUCUAGAGAGACUGCCAAGGUGACAACUUGGAGGAAGGUGGGGACGACGUCAAGUCAUCAUGGUCCUUACGUCCAGGGCUAGAAACGUACUACAAUGGUUGGCACAGAGGGGAGCAACACAGCGAUGUGAAGCAAAUCCUUAAAACCAACCUCAGUUCGGAUUGGAGUCUGCAACUCGACUCCAUGAAGUUGGAAUCGCUAGUAAUCGCGGAUCAGCAAUGCCGC
RNAcentral lists this ribosomal RNA (433 nucleotides) under uncultured bacterium. RNAcentral's name for it is "bacterial SSU rRNA". It matches the Rfam family "Bacterial small subunit ribosomal RNA", at positions 934 to 1360 of the family's 1533-position model. The record is from RNAcentral.